This 2658-nucleotide ribosomal RNA is filed under the name Escherichia coli. RNAcentral's name for it is "bacterial LSU rRNA". The stretch from base 1 to 2107 matches the Rfam family "Bacterial large subunit ribosomal RNA". The record is from RNAcentral. Lineage: Bacteria; Pseudomonadati; Pseudomonadota; Gammaproteobacteria; Enterobacterales; Enterobacteriaceae.
ACUAAGCGUACACGGUGGAUGCCCUGGCAGUCAGAGGCGAUGAAGGACGUGCUAAUCUGCGAUAAGCGUCGGUAAGGUGAUAUGAACCGUUAUAACCGGCGAUUUCCGAAUGGGGAAACCCAGUGUGAUUCGUCACACUAUCAUUAACUGAAUCCAUAGGUUAAUGAGGCGAACCGGGGGAACUGAAACAUCUAAGUACCCCGAGGAAAAGAAAUCAACCGAGAUUCCCCCAGUAGCGGCGAGCGAACGGGGAGGAGCCCAGAGCCUGAAUCAGUGUGUGUGUUAGUGGAAGCGUCUGGAAAGGCGCGCGAUACAGGGUGACAGCCCCGUACACAAAAAUGCACAUGCUGUGAGCUCGAUGAGUAGGGCGGGACACGUGGUAUCCUGUCUGAAUAUGGGGGGACCAUCCUCCAAGGCUAAAUACUCCUGACUGACCGAUAGUGAACCAGUACCGUGAGGGAAAGGCGAAAAGAACCCCGGCGAGGGGAGUGAAAAAGAACCUGAAACCGUGUACGUACAAGCAGUGGGAGCACGCUUCGGCGUGUGACUGCGUACCUUUUGUAUAAUGGGUCAGCGACUUAUAUUCUGUAGCAAGGUUAACCGAAUAGGGGAGCCGAAGGGAAACCGAGUCUUAACUGGGCGUUAAGUUGCAGGGUAUAGACCCGAAACCCGGUGAUCUAGCCAUGGGCAGGUUGAAGGUUGGGUAACACUAACUGGAGGACCGAACCGACUAAUGUUGAAAAAUUAGCGGAUGACUUGUGGCUGGGGGUGAAAGGCCAAUCAAACCGGGAGAUAGCUGGUUCUCCCCGAAAGCUAUUUAGGUAGCGCCUCGUGAAUUCAUCUCCGGGGGUAGAGCACUGUUUCGGCAAGGGGGUCAUCCCGACUUACCAACCCGAUGCAAACUGCGAAUACCGGAGAAUGUUAUCACGGGAGACACACGGCGGUGCUAACGUCCGUCGUGAAGAGGGAAACAACCCAGACCGCCAGCUAAGGUCCCAAAAGUCAUGGUUAAGUGGGAAACGAUGUGGGAAGGCCCAGACAGCCAGGAUGUUGGCUUAGAAGCAGCCAUCAUUUAAAGAAAGCGUAAUAGCUCACUGGUCGAGUCGGCCUGCGCGGAAGAUGUAAACGGGGCUAAACCAUGCACCGAAGCUGCGGCAGCGACACUAUGUGUUGUUGGGUAGGGGAGCGUUCUGUAAGCCUGCGAAGGUGGCCUGUGAGGGUUGCUGGAGGUAUCAGAAGUGCGAAUGCUGACAUAAGUAACGAUAAAGCGGGUGAAAAGCCCGCUCGCCGGAAGACCAAGGGUUCCUGUCCAACGUUAAUCGGGGCAGGGUGAGUCGACCCCUAAGGCGAGGCCGAAAGGCGUAGUCGAUGGGAAACAGGUUAAUAUUCCUGUACUUGGUGUUACUGCGAAGGGGGGACGGAGAAGGCUAUGUUGGCCGGGCGACGGUUGUCCCGGUUUAAGCGUGUAGGCUGGUUUUCCAGGCAAAUCCGGAAAAUCAAGGCUGAGGCGUGAUGACGAGGCACUACGGUGCUGAAGCAACAAAUGCCCUGCUUCCAGGAAAGCCUCUAAGCAUCAGGUAACAUCAAAUCGUACCCCAAACCGACACAGGUGGUCAGGUAGAGAAUACCAAGGCGCUUGAGAGAACUCGGGUGAAGGAACUAGGCAAAAUGGUGCCGUAACUUCGGGAGAAGGCACGCUGAUACGUAGGUGAAGUCCACUGCGCGGAUGGAGCUGAAAUCCAGUCGAAGAUACCAGCUGGCUGCAACUGUUUAUUAAAAACACAGCACUGUGCAAACACGAAAGUGGACGUAUACGGUGUGACGCCUGCCCGGUGCCGGAAGGUUAAUUGAUGGGGUUAGCGGUAACGCGAAGCUCUUGAUCGAAGCCCCGGUAAACGGCGGCCGUAACUAUAACGGUCCUAAGGUAGCGAAAUUCCUUGUCGGGUAAGUUCCGACCUGCACGAAUGGCGUAAUGAUGGCCAGGCUGUCUCCACCCGAGACUCAGUGAAAUUGAACUCGCUGUGAAGAUGCAGUGUACCCGCGGCAAGACGGAAAGACCCCGUGAACCUUUACUAUAGCUUGACACUGAACAUUGAGCCUUGAUGUGGAAAAAUGAAUACCAAGUCUCAAGAGUGAACACGUAAUUCAUUACGAAGUUUAAUUCUUUGAGCAUCAAACUUUUAAUUGAAGAGUUUGAUCAUGGCUCAGAUUGAACGCUGGCGGCAGGCCUAACACAUGCAAGUCGAACGGUAACAGGAAACAGCUUGCUGUUUCGCUGACGAGUGGCGGACGGGUGAGUAAUGUCUGGGAAACUGCCUGAUGGAGGGGGAUAACUACUGGAAACGGUAGCUAAUACCGCAUAACGUCGCAAGACCAAAGAGGGGGACCUUCGGGCCUCUUGCCAUCGGAUGUGCCCAGAUGGGAUUAGCUAGUAGGUGGGGUAACGGCUCACCUAGGCGACGAUCCCUAGCUGGUCUGAGAGGAUGACCAGCCACACUGGAACUGAGACACGGUCCAGACUCCUACGGGAGGCAGCAGUGGGGAAUAUUGCACAAUGGGCGCAAGCCUGAUGCAGCCAUGCCGCGUGUAUGAAGAAGGCCUUCGGGUUGUAAAGUACUUUCAGCGGGGAGGAAGGAGUAAAGUUAAUACCUUUGCUCA